This 794-nucleotide ribosomal RNA is filed under the name uncultured bacterium. Its description in RNAcentral is "bacterial SSU rRNA". It matches the Rfam family "Bacterial small subunit ribosomal RNA", at positions 614 to 1408 of the family's 1533-position model. The record is from RNAcentral.
CCAUAGUACGCUUNGGAAACUGUUUAACUUGAGUGCAAGAGGGGAGAGUGGAAUUCCAUGUGUAGCGGUGAAAUGCGUAGAUAUAUGGAGGAACACCGGUGGCGAAAGCGGCUCUCUGGCUUGUAACUGACGCUGAGGCUCGAAAGCGUGGGGAGCAAACAGGAUUAGAUACCCUGGUAGUCCACGCCGUAAACGAUGAGUGCUAGGUGUUAGACCCUUUCCGGGGUUUAGUGCCGCAGCUAACGCAUUAAGCACUCCGCCUGGGGAGUACGACCGCAAGGUUGAAACUCAAAGGAAUUGACGGGGGCCCGCACAAGCGGUGGAGCAUGUGGUUUAACUCGAAGCAACGCGAAGAACCUUACCAGGUCUUGACAUCCCUCUGACCGCUCUAGAGAUAGAGUUUUCCUUCGGGACAGAGGUGACAGGUGGUGCAUGGUUGUCGUCAGCUCGUGUCGUGAGAUGUUGGGUUAAGUCCCGCAACUAGCGCAACCCCUAUUGUUAGUUGCCAUCAUUCAGUUGGGCACUCUAGCGAGACUGCCGGUAAUAAACCGGAGGAAGGUGGGGAUGACGUCAAAUCAUCAUGCCCCUUAUGACCUGGGCUACACACGUGCUACAAUGGCUGGUACAACGAGUCGCAAGCCGGUGGCGGCAAGCUAAUCUCUUAAAGCCAGUCUCAGUUCGGAUUGUAGGCUGCAACUCGCCUACAUGAAGUCGGAAUCGCUAGUAAUCGCGGAUCAGCACGCCGCGGUGAAUACGUUCCCGGGCCUUGUACACACCGCCCGUCACACCACGAG